Molecule: ribosomal RNA, 468 nt
Filed under: uncultured bacterium
Lineage: Bacteria
Description: partial 16S ribosomal RNA
Rfam family: Bacterial small subunit ribosomal RNA
Source: RNAcentral
GACGAACGCUGGCGGCGUGCUUAACACAUGCAAGUCGAACGGAAAGGCCCUGCUUUUGUGGGGUGCUCGAGUGGCGAACGGGUGAGUAACACGUGAGUAACCUGCCCUUGACUUUGGGAUAACUUCAGGAAACUGGGGCUAAUACCGGAUAGGAGCUCCUGCUGCAUGGUGGGGGUUGGAAAGUUUCGGCGGUUGGGGAUGGACUGGCGGCUUAUCAGCUUGUUGGUGGGGUAGUGGCUUACCAAGGCUUUGACGGGUAGGCGGCCUGAGAGGGUGACCGGCCACAUUGGGACUGAGGGACGGCCCAGACGCCUACGGGAGGCAGCAGGGGGGAAUAUGGCACAAUGGGCGGAAGCCUGAUGCAGCAACGCCGCGGGCGGGAUGACGGCCUUCGGGUAGUAAACCGCUUUCGCCUGUGACGAAGCGUGAGUGACGGUAAUGGGUAAAGAAGCACCGGCUAACUACGUG